GGGGGCGGGGCCGGCGCUCAGAGUCCUCUCACGGCCCCAGUCAGGGAAUUUCAAUUUGAAACCUAGCGGAGGGAGGAGGCAGGCGCGGCUGCCGGCGGCUGGGACUGAAGAGGGACGGGUCCCCGCGGCGAGCGAGCUCCUGAGGUGCGGCGUCGGGCAUAAGCUGUGGCCAUGACUACUGAAGUAGGCUCUGUGUCUGAAGUGAAGAAGGACUCUAGCCAGUUAGGAACAGAUGCAACCAAGGAAAAACCUAAAGAAGUAGCAGAAAAUCAGCAGAAUCAGUCUUCCGAUCCAGAGGAGGAAAAAGGUUCCCAGCCACCUCCUGCAGCUGAAAGCCAAAGUAGUCUACGCCGCCAGAAGAGAGAGAAGGAAACAUCUGAGAGCAGGGGUAUUUCUCGGUUCAUACCGCCAUGGCUUAAGAAGCAAAAGUCAUAUACCUUAGUAGUGGCCAAAGAUGGAGGAGAUAAAAAAGAGCCCACCCAAGCUGUUGUUGAAGAACAGGUCUUAGAUAAAGAGGAACCCCUUCCAGAAGAACAGAGACAGGCUAAGGGUGAUGCUGAAGAAAUGGCUCAGAAGAAACAAGAGAUUAAAGUUGAAGUCAAGGAAGAAAAACCCUCAGUGAGCAAAGUGGAGACGCAGCCUACUGAAUUAGUAAGUAAGGAGAGAGAAGAGAAGGUAAAAGAAACACAGGAAGACAAAUUAGAAGGAGGAGCAGCAAAAAGGGAGACCAAGGAAGUGCAGACCAAUGAGCUGAAAGCAGAGAAGGCAUCUCAAAAAGUCGCCAAGAAGACCAAAACUGUCCAGUGUAAAGUGACCCUCUUAGAUGGCACCGAAUACAGCUGUGACCUGGAGAAACCUGCCAAGGGACAAGUGUUAUUUGACAAAGUGUGUGAACACCUCAAUCUCUUGGAGAAAGACUACUUUGGACUUUUGUUUCAGGAAAGCCCUGAGCAGAAAAACUGGCUAGAUCCUGCUAAAGAAAUAAAGAGACAACUGAGAAACCUUCCCUGGCUAUUCACUUUUAAUGUGAAGUUUUAUCCUCCUGAUCCUUCUCAAUUGACUGAAGAUAUCACCAGAUACUUCUUGUGCCUUCAGCUCCGGCAGGACAUUGCCUCUGGCCGCCUGCCCUGCUCUUUUGUGACUCAUGCUCUCCUGGGAUCCUACACCCUGCAGGCUGAACUUGGUGACUAUGACCCAGAAGAACAUGGCAGCAUCGACCUCAGUGAAUUCCAGUUUGCCCCUACUCAGACUAAGGAGCUGGAAGAGAAGGUGGCAGAGCUGCACAAAACCCACAGGGGCUUAUCUCCAGCACAAGCUGAUUCCCAGUUCUUAGAAAAUGCAAAGAGGCUUUCCAUGUACGGUGUUGACCUACAUCAUGCCAAGGACUCAGAAGGUGUGGACAUCAAGCUGGGCGUGUGUGCUAAUGGACUUCUCAUUUACAAAGACAGACUGCGAAUCAAUCGUUUUGCUUGGCCGAAAAUCUUAAAAAUUUCCUAUAAACGCAGUAACUUCUACAUUAAAGUCAGACCAGCAGAGCUGGAACAGUUUGAGAGUACCAUUGGAUUCAAACUGCCAAACCACCGGGCGGCAAAAAGACUAUGGAAAGUGUGCGUGGAGCAUCAUACUUUCUACAGGCUUGUUUCUCCAGAGCAGCCACCAAAAGCCAAGUUCCUGACCUUGGGGUCCAAAUUUCGCUAUAGUGGCCGCACCCAAGCACAGACCCGCCAGGCCAGCACCCUUAUAGACAGGCCAGCACCACACUUUGAGCGCACUUCUAGUAAACGGGUCUCCAGGAGUCUAGAUGGAGCUCCGAUUGGUGUCGUGGACCAAAGUAUUAUGAAGGAUUUUCCUGGCGCUGCCAGGGAGAUUUCAGCCUAUGGCCCUGGAGUUGUCAGCAUUGCCGUGGUACAAGAUGGGGACGGCAGGAGGGAAGUGAGAAGCCCAACUAAAGCCCCCCAUUUGCAGCUCAUUGAAGGAAAGAAAAAUUCCUUGAGAGUAGAAGGGGAUAAUAUUUAUGUCAGACAUAGCAAUUUAAUGUUGGAGGAACUGGAUAAGGCCCAGGAGGACAUACUGAAACAUCAGGCUAGCAUUAGUGAACUCAAGCGCAAUUUUAUGGAAUCCACACCUGAGCCGCGCCCUAAUGAAUGGGAAAAACGACGUAUCACACCUCUGUCCCUACAGACACAAGGGAGAAAAGGAGACCAUCUUUUCAAGGAUAUUUUAUCCGUGAAGGAGAAGUACCUGAUGCCAACAACACGGACAGUUGAAGAAAAAGCUCAGGAGACGGACAAGACACGUGCUCCUGAGUCAGAAGGGCCUUGCACUGGAGCCAGGGAUGCUGUUAAGAGUUCACAUGAGACUCUGAAUAUAGUGGAGGAGAAGAAGCGGGCAGAGGUUGGGAAAGACGAAAGAGUAAUCACAGAAGAAAUGAAUGGUAAAGAGAUAUCACCUGGGAGUGGUCCUGGGGAGAUUCGUAAGGUGGAGCCUGUGACACAAAAAGACUCCACCUCCCUGUCUUCUGAGAGCAGCAGCAGCAGCAGUGAGAGUGAGGAGGAAGACGUGGGAGAGUACCGUCCCCACCACCGAGUGACCGAGGGCACCAUCAGGGAGGAACAGGAGUAUGAAGAAGAGGUGGAGGAAGAACCCCGCCCGGCAGCCAAGGUAGUCGAGAGGGAGGAAGCAGUGCCCGAAGCCAGCCCAGUCACACAAGCAGGUGCCAGUGUAAUCACAUUAGAAACAGUGAUCCAGGAAAAUGUAGGUGCCCAAAAGAUACCCGGAGAGAAGAGUGUACACGAAGGCGCUCUUAAGCAAGACUUGGGAGAAGAAGCAGAGGAAGAGCCACAGAAAGUUAACGGAGAGGUGUCCCAUGUUGACAUUGAUGUUUUGCCACAAAUUAUUUGUUGUUCAGAGCCACCAGUGGUAAAAACAGAGAUGGUAACAAUUUCUGAUGCCUCACAAAGGACAGAAAUCUCCACCAAGGAAGUCCCCAUUGUCCAAACUGAGACCAAAACCAUCACAUAUGAGUCUCCACAGAUUGAUGGCGGGGCUGGUGGUGAUUCGGGCACGUUACUGACUGCACAAACCAUCACAUCUGAGUCCGUGUCAACAACGACAACCACACACAUCACCAAGACUGUAAAAGGUGGAAUUUCUGAAACAAGAAUUGAGAAACGCAUUGUGAUCACAGGAGAUGGAGAUAUUGAUCAUGACCAGGUAAAUAAGUUAAGUUCUAGUUCUGGAAAUGACCAUGUUUGUUUUCUAAGUUUCACAUUUGUCAUCAUGUCACAUACCUGUGUAAACCUCUUCUCCCCAUACCUCCUGGGUGAAGUCCACCUCCUAAGCAGGACAUAAAGACACAGCCUGGAUACAGGCUUUCCUACCUCUGAAUCAGCAUAAAACACAGAUUUCUCUUUAUUUUCCACUGGCUUUACAUGUACUUUUGGGUCUAAUCUGGAGGAUUUCUGGAAAACAUUAGAUUUGUGUGGGCCUGGUUUAAAGGCAAGUGAUCAAAUAUUUAAAAAUGAAUGGCAGUUCAAUGCACCAACUUCCAAAAAAUGAAGAAAGCCACUAAGCUUGAGCUAUGCCUACUUUCAGGAACUUUUCAAGUAUAUGGCAUUAGAAAAGUUGAGUUAUUUACUUCCAGGUGUUUUCUCCUAUUGCGAUUAUUGGGGGAGGGGAGGUAAUAUAAGGUUUCUUACAAAGUGAAAAUUUACGUUGAUUCUGAAAAUUUUUUAAAAGAAUCAUGCCUCCAUUCUAAUGUUAAAUUUGGCAGCAUGCAUGGCUUUGAGCAGGUGAUGAAUGGAACUGCUGGAGACUUUGAGAGCAGUUUUCAUUUUAGACUGCAGUCCCAAGUGAUGCCGGCAAUUUUUUUAAAAGUGAUUUUAACUCAGCUUUAAAGGAGACCAAGCUGUUUUCCUUUUAUAACAACUUGAAGAAAAGGAAAAGAAAUAUUCAAUUGACUAUCUCAGCUGGGGAGGAGGAGCUGACGAUAGUUACACAGCUUUGGACAUAAUACUGAGCUCAGGAAAGAAAAUUUUAGAGAACAAAAUUCUUCAUUUGAGAAAGGCUGCCUAUAUGUGAUCAGAGAUAAAUGGAUUUUUUCAUGCCUAAGAAGAAAAUUACUCCCAAUUUUUUUGACCUUUGUAAGCAUGAUUUGACUUACAUAUUCGUAAUGUACUUUUAAAAUUUUCUUAAGAGUUAUUAGAGGUUAAAAGAUUGCCUUGACUCUGGAUUUUGAUAUAGGACUGGAGAUUCCUAGAGAGCAUUAGUACACUUGUCUGCUUACCACGGGAAAAUGGGUGACUUAUGUGGAAACAAGCCUCCAGUUUUCCAGAUUUAUUCUACUAUCCACUGGAACAGUCUUGAGUUUCGCCUGAGAAAUUGGAGCAAACCUGCUUCUUUCUCUCUGGGACUCUUCUCAAUAAGCACUCACUGAAUUCCUAGAAUAUGUGAGGCACAAGCUCACCUUUUUUGGCAUGGUGGAAAGUGCAAACUAGGGUCUUCUCCCAGCCAUUGUUUCUUCCACCGCCCCCCUUCCCCCCACCCAUUGAACCUAGGCCCUUUACACACUUUAAAAUGCCACCUUUCCAGUACUCAGGUUUUACUUAUGUGUAUUGUUUUGCCUUUUAUAACAAAAGGCAAAAUAAUUUUGUUAUAAAAGGCAAAAGAAUGUUUUGGCCUUUUUACCCCAAAAUUCAAAUCUAGAUAGUACUGCUUCUGAAAGGCGAAUAUUAAAAACACAAUCUGAAAUACAAGUGCCAAAAUAACAUAUACACCUGACUCUUAAAAAAUCAUGAUGACCCUGCAGCCUUAACUGCUGCUGUUGCAAGGACAGGCAUCUCCUUUUUUGUAUAUGAUGUCAUGUUUCAGCCCUUUCUAAAACUGAGGCAGGAGAAUGCCGUGAACCUGGGAGGCAGAGCUUACAGUGAGCGGAGAUGGUGCCACUGCACUCCAGCCUGGGCGACAGAGCAAGAUUCCAUCUCAAAAUUAAAAAAAAAUAAAAAAGGCAUCUUAAAAUGGAAGGACACUUUCACUGGGCCAGACAGAAAACAAGAAAUCUUUUUUGUGUUGGCAAAUCAAAGAGGCAUGCUUUUACAGAAACUUGCUUUGCAGAUUCUUCACCCUGUGCUGGUCACGAUACUUUCAGCUCCAUACCAAGGAGGGGUAAAAUACACUGCAGUUUCUCUUCAGAGUGUAUUUCUUUCUAAGAAAUAAUUGCUCAAUUUGGCAGUAAGAUGUGAUGUUUUCUCAUAAUCCUUAUUAUUGCCAUAAUAAAUUAACAUUUUACAGUAUUUAAUUUUGCAUGCUGAUAUUAUGGAAUGAAAGGAGUUUUAACAAACUGAUUUUGAAUGUGUUUCAAGAUGACUGUAGCAGUUUUUGCUUUUCCCAACCUUUCUGUGAAUUAGAAUGUACUUCAUAUGUGUUGCCUUCCCUUGGGUAUCAUCUACAUUUUCUCUAACAAUUGCCCUGGUUUGUUGUAGGCAGAUCUUUGUAGAUCAGAUACUCAAAGUAUUUGAUCAUUUGUCGGUAGCUACAUUUGGCUCCCAUCAGAGCUUGUCCUUGUCUUUGACUUUUCCCAGUGUGGACUGCACAAACCAACGUAGUAAAUGGCUUGGAUCAUUCCAGUCUCCUUCCCUCUGAAGACAGACACACACACACACACACACACACACAAAAUGUAGAACUGCACCCCUGUGCUUCCUCUCCCUUCCCUAUUCCCAUUCCAGUCAACACGCUGAAAAGCUUUUCUGCCCUUCCCUGGAACCAGAUACCUGCUCCCACUCCUGCUCCACGCUAGCCCUCCAGCCAUUCACUCUCCCCCCUUGACAAACACUUGUCUAACUGCCCAGAUUGGAGUCUGGUUCCAUGUCUUAUUUCUCUAUUGUCCUAACACAGGUCACUCACAAGAGUUUGUUACCUGGUGGAAAUUUAAGCACCCUCAAAUGUCUUCCAAGUUUCUGUGCAAAAAAUUUUCGGUAUAAAAAUGAUGUCCUUUUUUUUUUCUUUUGGUAGCUUUACCUUUUUUUAAAUGAAACGAGGCUUAGGGUUUCUGCUUAGUAUCCUUACAGCUGACAGAAACUAUCAUGCAAACAAGAAAUGCAGUUGUCCCCUUAGGCAGCUGACAGCAAAAGAAAAAAUUGCAUGGCUUUAUUUCAAAUGCAGUUUCCUUAUGAGAUACGGUAUUCUCUGUCCUGGUAAAAUUUUCUCUUUGUUUUAGCAUUCUUUCCUAGACAUUUUUUUUUUUUUGGAGACAAAGUCUCACUCUGUUGCCCAGGCUGGAGUGCAGUGGUGCAGUCUUGGCUCACUGCAGCCUCCGCUUCCCGGUUCAGGCAAUUCUCCUGCCUCAGCCACCUAAGUAGCUGGGAUUACAGGCGUGCGCCAGCCAAGCCUGGUGUUUUUAGUAGAGACUGGGUUUCACCAUGUUGGCCAGGCUGGUUUGGAACUCCUGUCCUCAAGUGAUCGCCCGCCUUGGCAUCCCAAAGUGCUGGGAUUACAGGCCUGAGCCACCAUGCCUGGACUUUAGAAUUCUUUCCUAGACUUCGAGGGUUGUUCUCUGGUGUUUUGUUUUCUCACCCAUACUUUAAAAACAAAAUGAGUAAUAAUUAGGAAAGCCAUUUUCCUCCUCUGAAAAAUAGGAUCUUUCCAUUGUGCUGCAACACUCUUACAGUUUACUUUCUGAUAAAACACAGAGAAACUUUGCUUUCUUACCGCGUGGUCCAAGGAAGGACCCUAAACCACUGGAGUCAGCCCUCUGGGUCCUCCCUGCUCCUAUCCUGCUGCUCACAGGCUGGAUAGCCUUGAGAAAGACCCAUUAAUCUUUGUGCCUGCAGUUUUGUCAGCUGUCAAAUGGGGACCUGUAUUUUAUAACCUGAAGAUUAGUCAGUCUCUGUUCUUUAGCUUUACUAAUUGUAUGUUGUUGCUACUGCUCUUUAGUUCUGUGUCUUAGAGGUUUAUAGACAUCUUUCCUGCAGUCUUUUAGUUCAGCAAACAUUUUAGUUCAAACAAUUACUGAGAGCCUAAGAGGAUAAAGAUGAGCAAGGCCUGGUCCUAUGCCUUGCAGUUUCAGGCAAUUGGGUGAUAGCUAGUAUCACCUGAAUGUCUAGAUGAGGCACUGGGCUGGCUGCUUUACAGCAUUACUUCAGUUCACACAGAAAACCUUAAAAUGAUCAUUACAACUCAGCAUUGGUCUCGGGUUACAGGUAAGAAUGCUAAGCUCCAAAGAACUGUUUUCUCCAAAUCUCACAGUGAGUAUAAUAAGCCUGGGAUUCAAAGCCAGCAUGUUUCCUCCACGUGUCAUUUUUUGAAAGUGGACUGAAGGAUUGGGAGAUUUAGGAAAUGAGAAGCAGUCUGUAAAAUGACAGUGAACCCAUUUCAAAUCUUCCUGCUUUCUCAAAUAAAGAAGUGAGUGCCUCUUGGCUUGAGGUUGGGUCCGAGGUGAUCAGUGUGCGUGUGUUUUGCCAUCGUGAGGUGGAGGCUGUUCCCCAGCUCACAGCCGUUCUCUGUCCUGACCCUGGCAGGCACUGGCUCAGGCGAUCAGGGAAGCCAGAGAGCAGCACCCUGACAUGUCGGUCACAAGAGUGGUGGUACACAAAGAAACAGAGUUGGCUGAGGAAGGGGAAGAUUAAGUAAGAAAGUCAUUUUUUAAACAACACUCAACCUUGUGAACCCCUGAAGAUUUUUUGACCGUUCCAAGUCUUAAUGCCACACCACUAUUCCAGCGAAUUUAUGCUACAACUGGUAACAAUGACCAGAAGCCUGAAGAAUUAAAAUGCCAACACCAAACCUUUCCUUACCAGCUCUGGUCUAUAUUGCUCCCAUGCAUUUAAUAUAUUAUUUUGUUUUAUAACCACUUCUAAAUAUUCUUGGCUCUUUCUUUUUGUUGUUGUUAAUUAAGGGGUUUUGCUUUUGUUUUCUGUUUACUUUGUGUGCAACUACCUGCUUUUAAUGACUCACUUUGAUCAAAUGACAGUGAACAAAUCCAGCCCAAGCUGGUAAGGUGCUGUUCACUUGAACAGGUGCUGUUGUGCAGAAAGGAAACUCUGUGACUAAUUUAGAUAGUGGCUUUCCUUCUUCUGGAUUCUUUUCCUUGAAUUCUCACAGUAAAUAUUUACGGAGUUUUCAUAUUGCAGCAAAUAUACUGUAUGAGAAAAUAUUAAUACAGAUUAAAAGCAUUUCUUACAUCUUGAAAAUUUUCUAAUAUUUGAGAAUUUCACAGGGAUGUUUUUUAUGUUGGACCCUUUUGACUUUCCAGUCCUGUGACUUUCUACUUUUAGUAGAGAGUCGUAAUCUCUGGACUGGAGAAUUAUGAAGAAGUUCACUGACUAUGCACUGUGCUUAGAGACCCUGCCGCACCACAGUGCCAAUGCUUGUCAGACACAUGCCCUUCGGCAGCAUUCCAGAACAGGAGGGAAGAGAAAGAGAAAACUUUCUUCCCUUCUACUAAAAGAUUCAGGCAGCUUAAAACCUUAGUGCUUUCUUUCUUAACAUACCCAAAUUUCAGUUCUUUCCAUUAUUUGAACACUUGGGUGUAGAACUCUUGCUUUGUAUUAAACCUCCUUGUCUACACAUGUAAAACUGACCUUUUGUUAUUGAGCAGGCCUAUCUCUUUCAGAUAGUUUUAUGAUUCACACAGGUUUGAGGAUGCUGGGGAGAGGGGGAGGGGGCUGUGGUGGUGUUCUGUUGGUUACAGGAAAGUUAUACCAUUUAAAGCUGGCACCAGAGACCUGAUAGGGACUUAUUAACUAUAUUGAACAUUUUUUCCUUUGCCUUUGACCCUAUGUAUAGUUACGAUGCCAGAUUAGAUUUAUAGCAGCUUCAAGUUGUAUUAAAUGAUAUUUUGCUUCCUGUAAUACUGUUAUAAAAUAAAGUUUGUUUAUUCUCUAAA
RNA transcript from Pongo pygmaeus (Bornean orangutan), 8884 nucleotides. It is a transcript of the gene named erythrocyte membrane protein band 4.1 like 2, with no coding region annotated. The transcript is spliced from 22 exons. The record is from RefSeq and is a predicted model, not a curated record. NCBI's taxonomy places the organism in Eukaryota, Metazoa, Chordata, Mammalia, Primates, Hominidae.